GAUGAACGCUGGCGGCGUGCCUAACACAUGCAAGUCGAACGAGCGCCUUCGGGCGCGAGUGGCGGACGGGUGAGUAACGCGUGGAUAACCUGCCUUAUACAGGGGGAUAACAGCGGGAAACUGCUGUUAAUACCGCAUAAGCGCACAGUACCGCAUGGUACAGUGCGAAAAGCUCCGGCGGUAUAAGAUGGAUACGCGUCUGAUUAGCCAGUUGGCGGGGUAACGGCCCACCAAAGCGACGAUCAGUAGCCGACUUGAGAGAGUGACCGGCCACAUUGGGACUGAGACACGGCCCAAACUCC
Molecule: ribosomal RNA, 302 nt
Filed under: uncultured Coprococcus sp.
Lineage: Bacteria; Bacillati; Bacillota; Clostridia; Lachnospirales; Lachnospiraceae
Description: bacterial SSU rRNA
Rfam family: Bacterial small subunit ribosomal RNA
Source: RNAcentral